GGAUAUGAGAGCGAUCUGGCUGAGACGUCUGUUAUCCUAUUGAUUGCCAGGGUUGAUUCAGCGACCUGGCUAGCUAGGUGUGUGUGCUCUUCUUCCCUCACCGCUUUAUGUACGUCCCUCAAUAAGUGCGCACUCCGUGGAAGAGGACGUCCAUCCCCCAGAGAAGAGGACCAGUCUUCGAUCAAAGGUAUAGGAGUAGUUGCGCUCCUCUGCUAGACUCUCCAAACAUGCUUUUUUUUCUUCUUCUUCUUUUUUUGAGAUGGAGUCUCAUUCUGUUGCUAGGCUGCAGUGCAAUGGCAUGAUCUCAACUCACUGCAACCUCUGCCUCCCGGGU
Molecule: small nuclear RNA, 334 nt
Filed under: Theropithecus gelada (gelada)
Lineage: Eukaryota; Metazoa; Chordata; Mammalia; Primates; Cercopithecidae
Description: 7SK RNA (ENSTGEG00000010646.1)
Rfam family: 7SK RNA
About the family: 7SK was discovered as an abundant small nuclear RNA in the mid-70s but a possible function has only recently been suggested. Two independent studies have found that 7SK RNA binds the CDK9/cyclin T complex (known as elongation factor P-TEFb).
Source: Rfam by way of RNAcentral